GGAUGAGUACACACAAUCAUCGUUUCUUCUCGAGCGUUGUCUCUGCAAGCACCGUACCGAAUUGGAGGCAGUUCAGCGGAACCGGCGCUCUGAGAUCUCAGCCGACUCGACGCGUCGUCCUCCCUUCGCGGGUCGCUGAAUUAAGGUUGUCGUGUGUCGCGUGCCUCCCCUGCGGCCCUAUGCCUCUCUCCCCUCUUUUCUGAUCCUUUCCUUGCAUGCACGUACGCCUCCCCCCAUGUCUCUCUCAUAUUUAACACCGACCCCUCUCUCCUCCUGCGGUCCUGCCUUCCUUUCCAUAUCACUACUCCCCACCUCCCAUCCUCCUCCUCUCUCUGGUCUGUCUCUCUCUCUCGCUCGCUUCCUUCCCCGUCUCUCGCUCUCACCAUGGCCGGCAGCGCCGCCACCGCCACCGUCUGCUCCAUGUGCGGCGACGUCGGCUUCCCCGAGAAGCUCUUCCGGUGCGCGCGCUGCCGCCACCGCUUCCAGCACUCAUACUGCACCAACUACUACGGCGACGGCGCGCCGGCCUCGGCCGGCUCCGACACGUGCGACUGGUGCCUCAGCGACGUGGCCGGGAACAAGGCGAGGUGGUCGUCGUCCACUGCCGGGAAGCAGCAGCAGCACGGCGCGGGCAGCCAGGAGUCCUCGUCCACCACGAGCUCCGGCGGCGGGGGCAGCGGCCGGGGCGGCAAGCAGGCCAGCGGCAGCGACCACCAGCAGGCCGAGGCGUCCGGGCGGCGAGCCACGACGACCAGGGCGGCCGGGCGCAGGUACAAGCUGCUCAAGGACGUCUUGUGUUAGUUUACUAGCUGUAAGUAGCUAGGUCAUGGGCCUCACGACGGUCUUGUGGAAGAUCCUAGCUAGUAGAUCGCGACGGACCCAGUAUUAGCCCAGUAGUAUUAAGUACGACUAGCUAGUAGUUAUAUGACCUAGUAACCGAGUUUGUUGGCCUGAUGUGUGUGUGAAUAUGUGCUUUUGUAUAUGUAAGUUUGCUUGGAUUAGGAAGGCUGUUAGCCUGUUUCUUAUCUAUACUAUAUAUCCGUUGAACUUUGGCUUGGUUG
Molecule: RNA transcript, 1061 nt
Organism: Setaria italica (foxtail millet)
Lineage: Eukaryota; Viridiplantae; Streptophyta; Magnoliopsida; Poales; Poaceae
Exons: 2
Source: RefSeq, a predicted model, not a curated record